This 422-nucleotide ribosomal RNA is filed under the name Verrucomicrobiota bacterium. RNAcentral describes it as "Verrucomicrobia bacterium partial 16S ribosomal RNA". It matches the Rfam family "Bacterial small subunit ribosomal RNA", at positions 355 to 776 of the family's 1533-position model. Lineage: Bacteria; Pseudomonadati; Verrucomicrobiota. The record is from RNAcentral.
UGGGGAAUUUUGCACAAUGGGCGCAAGCCUGAUGCAGCGACGCCGCGUGAGGGAUGAAGGCCUUCGGGUUGUAAACCUUUUUCGCUCAUGGUCAAGCCGCAGCUUUGGGUUGUGGUGAGGGUAGUGGGUAAAGAAGCGCCGGCUAACUACGUGCCAGCAGCCGCGGUAAUACGUAGGGCGCGAGCGUUGUCCGGAAUUAUUGGGCGUAAAGGGCUUGUAGGCGGUUGGCCGCGUCUGCCGUGAAAUCCUCUGGCUUAACUGGGGGCGUGCGGGGGGUACGGGUGGACUGGAGUGCGGUAGGGGAGACUGGAAUUCCUGGUGUAGCGGUGGAAUGCGCAGAUAUCAGGAGGAACACCGGUGGCGAAGGCGGGUCUCUGGGCCGUUACUGACGCUGAGGAGCGAAAGCGUGGGGAGCGAACAGG